Molecule: non-coding RNA, 27 nt
Filed under: Bombyx mori (domestic silkworm)
Lineage: Eukaryota; Metazoa; Arthropoda; Insecta; Lepidoptera; Bombycidae
Source: RNAcentral
AAACGGAUGCGAUGACGAUCGGCUGGU